AAGCCGUCGCAACCAACAAUGGCACCACCCAUCCAGCCAUCCUCCACGACAACAUCCCAAAGAACACAAGUCCCAGAACCACGGCUCAAUUCUCUCCUCUUCGACAACACCACCGCCAUCGCGACCACCAUCACCCCAUCAUCGCCAUCGAGGACGCAGCCAUCAUCCCUCUAAAAUUUAGGUGCUAUGCCCGCCUGCACCCCCUUGCGGUUAACUGCAGGAAGAAGAAGUGGGGACACAGCAACCAGCUGAUGCCAAAGAAGAAGAUCAAGUAGACUGGGAAUCGAGACAAUGGAGCGUCAAGUCUUUUCGGACAUUUAGCUGUCUGGAAAAGAGUGGCACCAUAUUCCAGCUGUGGAGCUAACGUCCCUUACAAGUUCAGCAUCUCUACCAACAGCAACAGGUAUAACUAGAUCGACUUAUUUUAGUGUUGUAGAGAAGUUCUAAAAUCAAAUUAUGACAUCUAGUACAAUAAUCAUGUGACAUAGAAAGAUUAAAACACAAUGAACCUUCAAAUACUUGUCUAAAUUGCAUUUUAUUACAUUAAAAAAAAAAAAAAAAAAAUUAAAGCCUCUUCACCGUAUGUGCUUGUACUUGGAUCGACUUAUUUUGCAUUCCCUCAACUUCUCUUGCAUCAUUUAUACCCAACUCUAAAAGGUGUUUACCAGCUAUAAGAUUAAUACUUAGGUCCAUAGUAUACAGACCUGAUACAUUCCUAAAAGUUUUUCUUCAGAUUUUUAAUCAGUUUCUUAGAUGUGGUUUCGGAUGUUAAUGCGGAAUUUAUUGCGGAUGUCAUGUUUAUGUUAUUUUGGAUUAUUUGAUUUUGGACUCCAUAAUUUGGAUGUCUUGGACUCUCAGAUGUUUUGUAUGUUGAUUUGAUCUUUAAAUGUCUCUCGGAUGUUAUUUUGAAUGUCUCGUAUUUAAUGUAUCGAACGAUGCUGGACGAUAUAACGUUGUUAAUCUAUAAACUUGAAUGUUGGACUUUGUA
Molecule: long non-coding RNA, 988 nt
Organism: Pyrus x bretschneideri (Chinese white pear)
Lineage: Eukaryota; Viridiplantae; Streptophyta; Magnoliopsida; Rosales; Rosaceae
Exons: 4
Source: RefSeq, a predicted model, not a curated record